GAUAUAUGUUCUGUCUAUAAAGAAAUAACAUCAAAAAUGUGGUGCAUACUGAAUAAUGUAUCACAGUUUUUUUUAAGGUAUUUCGGAUAGGCAGAAAAAAUGUGACAGUUAUUUCUUAUAAUUUAAUUUCUAAUUCCAUUUUAACCGGAGUAAAUCAUGAAACGUUAAUGACGUCACGAUCACAUGAUAAAAAUAUGUCCAUGGACUGAUAAACAAAACAACGUCAGCCAAUCAAAAAUCGCGUUAUUUCCAAAAUUAAAUUAUUAUAAAAUAUUUCUAAAAAAUGUAUAUCUUAAUUUUGUUUUAUUUAACAUUUUCAUGUGGCCAAAUAUUUUAUUCCAUGAUCAAAUCUGAAAUGUACAAUAAACGAAAACC
This 375-nucleotide long non-coding RNA is filed under the name Mytilus galloprovincialis (Mediterranean mussel). Lineage: Eukaryota; Metazoa; Mollusca; Bivalvia; Mytilida; Mytilidae. The record is from RNAcentral.